RNAcentral lists this ribosomal RNA (253 nucleotides) under uncultured bacterium. RNAcentral describes it as "partial 16S ribosomal RNA". It matches the Rfam family "Bacterial small subunit ribosomal RNA", at positions 524 to 776 of the family's 1533-position model. The record is from RNAcentral.
UACGAAGGGGGCGAGCGUUGUUCGGAAUUACUGGGCGUAAAGGGCGCGCAGGCGGCUCUGAAAGUCAGAUGUGAAAGCCCCGGGCUUAACCUGGGAAUUGCAUUUGAUACUCUGGAGCUUGAGUACGGGAGAGGAGAGUGGAAUUCCCAGUGUAGAGGUGAAAUUCGUAGGUAUUGGGAAGAACACCGGUGGCGAAGGCGGCUCCCUGGACCGUAACUGACGCUGAGGCGCGAAAGCGUGGGGAGCAAACAGG